Poecile atricapillus (Black-capped chickadee) is the source of this 626-nucleotide long non-coding RNA. RefSeq lists it as uncharacterized. The transcript is spliced from 3 exons. The record is from RefSeq and is a predicted model, not a curated record. NCBI's taxonomy places the organism in Eukaryota, Metazoa, Chordata, Aves, Passeriformes, Paridae.
UCUGCGAGCUUCAUCAGCUCACCUUCAUUCUCACCCGGCUCAUCUUGUUCCGCGUUCUCUCGGUCCUUGCGGCCGUUCUUGUGGCCCAGAGUUUUGUCUCCCCAUUGUGUCCCCUCGUCUGUUGUCUUGUGUGUCACGGGUGUCUGGGUGUAGUUGUCCCGGAGCUGCUCUGUCCUGCUGCCCAGCCUGGGUGUAGGUGUAAAAGGCCAAGUCCCAGGCCCCUGUAAUUUGAAAUUUGUCAUGUAGGGUGUAGUUGGAGUCUAGCGGGUGUUCCUAGAUUGACACAAGAUGUGUGGAGCUGUAAGGUUACCCUGCAGCACUUUGACUUUUGUCUCAGCUUUCUUUCAGAUGCGGACGGAUGAAAUCGGUGGCAGAGCGCCCCAUCCAGGGUAAGGGGAUUCCCGCGAGAAGGUCUCCUCUUUGUCUUUAUUUUUAGGAAGUAGAGCCAGCUAGCAGCAGUCAAGGCGAAGUGGGCAAGGCGGUCCAGUCGCGUUUCGCUGAGACGUCCUCGCCAACCGGCCGGCACAGCUGCUUCACCGCUCCCGUGAGCCCUGCGGAAGCGUUACGGAACCGUGUGACGGAGCGUUUUCCACGUAAAGGGGCUGUGUGGGUGGCCUUCAGGAACG